AACUUUCGGCAACGGAUCACUUGGCUCUCGCAUCGAUGAAGAACGCAGCGAAAUGCGCUAAGUAAUGUGAAUUGCAGAAUUCAGUGAAUCAUCGAAUCUUUGAACGCACCUUGCACCCUUUGGCAUUCCGAAGGGUAUGCUCGUUUGAGUGUCAUUGUACUCUCACACUCCCGAUGCUUUUGGAUUGGGAGUGGUGGACUUGGGUGUUGCUGCUUUACUGUGGCUCACCUCAAAUGGAGUAGUGCAACUCUUGGUUGGACAUAGUACGGCGUGAUAAGUGUCUUCGCCGGCGCCUCAUUAGAGGGUGGCCGAUCGGGAGCUCUGUGCUUCAAACCGUCUUCGGACAACAUCUGACAACUUGACCUCAAAUCGAGUAGGACUACCCGCUGAACUUAAGCAUAUCAAUAAGCGGAGGCU
Molecule: unclassified non-coding RNA, 417 nt
Filed under: uncultured Sebacina
Lineage: Eukaryota; Fungi; Basidiomycota; Agaricomycetes; Sebacinales; Sebacinaceae
Description: sequence contains ITS2
Rfam family: 5.8S ribosomal RNA (bases 1-154)
Source: RNAcentral